GGGGACGUAGCUCAGACUGGGAGAGCGCCGCCUUUGCACGGCGGAGGUCGGGGGUUCGAGCCCCCCCGUCUCCA
RNAcentral lists this transfer RNA (74 nucleotides) under Actinomycetota bacterium. RNAcentral describes it as "tRNA-Ala". It matches the Rfam family "tRNA". Rfam says of the family: Transfer RNA (tRNA) molecules are approximately 80 nucleotides in length. Their secondary structure includes four short double-helical elements and three loops (D, anti-codon, and T loops). Lineage: Bacteria; Bacillati; Actinomycetota. The record is from RNAcentral.